UACGUAGGGUGCGAGCGUUAAUCGGAAUUACUGGGCGUAAAGCGUGCGUAGGCGGUCCGCGAAGUCUGAUGUGAAAGCCCCGGGCUCAACCUGGGAACUGCAUUGGAAACUAACGGGCUCGAGUGUGGCAGAGGGGGGUGGAAUUCCACGUGUAGCAGUGAAAUGCGUAGAGAUGUGGAGGAACACCGAUGGCGAAGGCAGCCCCCUGGGCUAACACUGACGCUCAGGCACGAAAGCCAGGGGAGCAAACGGG
Molecule: ribosomal RNA, 253 nt
Filed under: uncultured bacterium
Lineage: Bacteria
Description: partial 16S ribosomal RNA
Rfam family: Bacterial small subunit ribosomal RNA
Source: RNAcentral